AAGUCCCUUGGGAUGUAAACUCCUUUCGAUCGGGACGAUUAUGACGGUACCGGAAGAAGAAGCACCGGCUAACUCUGUGCCAGCAGCCGCGGUAAUACAGAGGGUGCAAGCGUUGUUCGGAAUUAUUGGGCGUAAAGGGCGCGUAGGCGGCCUCGUCCGUCCGGCGUGAAAUGCCUGGGCUCAACCUGGGAAUUGCAUUUGAGACUGCGUAGCUAGGGUGCGGAAGAGGGAAGCGGAAUUUCCGGUGUAGCGGUGAAAUGCGUAGAUAUCGGAAGGAACACCAGUGGCGAAAGCGGCUCACUGGACCACAACUGACGCUGAUGCGCGAAAGCUAGGGGAGCAAACAGGAUUAGAUACCCUGGUAGUCCUAGCCCUAAACGAUGAUUGCUUGGUGUGUCGGGUACCCAAUCCCGCCGUGCCGAAGCUAACGCAUUAAGCACCCCGCCUGGGAAGUACGGUCGCAAGGCUAAAACUUAAAGGAAUUGACGGCCGUCAAUUCCUUUGAGUUUCAACUGCACCCGGUUGGUCCAAUGGUCCUGGCGGGGCUGAUCUUUUAUCCGAUAGAGCAAGCCCGCGAGGUGCUCCACUUCUACCGCGAGUAUGCUGCCUCCCGUAGGAG
Molecule: ribosomal RNA, 619 nt
Filed under: uncultured Acidobacteriota bacterium
Lineage: Bacteria; Pseudomonadati; Acidobacteriota
Description: bacterial SSU rRNA
Rfam family: Bacterial small subunit ribosomal RNA (bases 1-557)
Source: RNAcentral